CUGGCUUUCAUAGUAUAUCUUAUGUGUUAGGCUCAGACCUACACAAAUUCCUUUGCACUGGGGUAAGUGGAAUUAUACUAUUAUUCUGUGACAUCACACCUGCAUUACCUAAGACAAAGACACAUGAACUAGAGGAAGAAGUAUUUGCUUCCAAAAAUUAAAAAUAAAGAGCUAGCCAUCUCCUUGAAUCUAAAAAGCACAAGAACAUUCACUGCUAUAAAAGUUAAUAGAAUUGGUUAAUUAAAGCAACAGAACAUCUUUUAAAGAAAAAUAGUGAGGAAGGGUUUUUGUGAAAACAAACUGUGACCAUAACCAGAGAGCAGGAACAGAGAACUUAGAGCAGGGAGGUAGCAUCUCUAUUUGAAACACUGACCUUUCUCCCAAGUUACAAAAGCAAAGGAAACCCAGAACUCUGGAUUAGUGUUCUUGAACGUCUCUCCUGUCACAUCUAGAGCUAAAGGUGCUGAUAGAGAGAGGCUAUCAUUGCAAGUAUUAUUUCUAAGACAGAGAAGAAUAGAGAACACACAUCUGUUCAUCAGCAUAGGCAGAGGAGCCCAAGUUCUAGAAGCAAUCCCAAGUUAAAAGAAAAUCAUGUGCUAGGAAGCUAUUUAUAUUGAGCUUUCUCAUGGCUUAAUAGUUUCCUUGACUUAUGCAAAUAUGCUGCGAUGAACAAUUAGAACCCAGUAAUCAGCUCCAUUAAAGUGUCAGCUCCAUUCAUCUCUUCAUGUGCAAGUUCUGGUAAGCUUUGAUAUACCAAUCAGAGAAAAAUGACUGUAGAGCA
RNAcentral lists this long non-coding RNA (781 nucleotides) under Monodelphis domestica (gray short-tailed opossum). Its description in RNAcentral is "lncRNA (ENSMODG00000043862.1)". Lineage: Eukaryota; Metazoa; Chordata; Mammalia; Didelphimorphia; Didelphidae. The record is from RNAcentral.